UUCAAGUAAUUCAGGAUAGGUUGUGUGCUGUCCAGCCUGUUCUCCAUUACUUGGCUC
This 57-nucleotide microRNA precursor is filed under the name Macaca mulatta (Rhesus monkey). RNAcentral describes it as "Mml-Mir-26-P2_pre stem-loop". It matches the Rfam family "mir-26 microRNA precursor family", at positions 9 to 68 of the family's 81-position model. Rfam says of the family: The hairpin precursors (represented here) are predicted based on base pairing and cross-species conservation -- their extents are not known. In this case the mature sequence is excised from the 5' arm of the hairpin. The record is from RNAcentral. RNAcentral also lists the same sequence under 10 other names. Lineage: Eukaryota; Metazoa; Chordata; Mammalia; Primates; Cercopithecidae.